Molecule: ribosomal RNA, 270 nt
Filed under: uncultured bacterium
Lineage: Bacteria
Description: partial 16S ribosomal RNA
Rfam family: Bacterial small subunit ribosomal RNA
Source: RNAcentral
UGCGAGCGUUAAUCGGAAUUACUGGGCGUAAAGCGCAUGCAGGCGGCCUGUUAAGUCAGAUGUGAAAGACCCGGGGCGUUAAACCUCGGAAAUUGCAUUUGUAAACUGGCAGGCUAGAGUCUUGUAGAGGGGGGUAGGAAUUUCAGGUGUAGCGGUGAAAUAGCGUAGAGAUCUGAAGGAAUACCAGUGGCGAAAGCGGCCCCCUCGGACAAAGACUGACGCUCAGAUGCGAAAGCGUGGGGAGCAAACAGGAUUAGAUACCCCUGGUAG